Molecule: ribosomal RNA, 460 nt
Filed under: uncultured bacterium
Lineage: Bacteria
Description: partial 16S ribosomal RNA
Rfam family: Bacterial small subunit ribosomal RNA
Source: RNAcentral
CCUACGGGUGGCAGCAGUGAGGAAUAUUGGUCAAUGGGCGCAAGCCUGAACCAGCCAAGUCGCGUGAGGGAUGACGGUCCUACGGAUUGUAAACCCCUUUUGCCGGGGAGCAAGCGUGCUUUCGUGAACGCGCGUCGAGUGUACCUGGAGAAAAAGCAUCGGCUACCUCCGUGCCAGCAGCCGGGGUAAAACGGAGGAUGCGAGGGUUAUCGGGAUUUAUUGGGUUAAAGGGAUUCUAAGGCGCGAGGCCAAGGCAGCGGUAAAUGUGCGGGCUUAACCGGCGCCGAGCCGUGGAAACUGGCGUUCUUGAGUGGGCGAGAAGUAUGCGGAAUGCGUGGGGUAGCGGUGAAAUGCAUAGAUAUCACGCAGAACCCCGAUUGCGAAGGCAGCAUACCGGCGCCCUACUGACGCUGAGGCACGAAAGCGUGGGUAUCGAACAGGAUUAGAUACCCGGGUAGUC